CCCUUAGAUGUUCUGGGCCGCACGCGCGCUACACUGUUCGACGCAGCGAGUCUUAACCUUGACCGAAAGGUUUGGGUAAUCUUCAGCAAAGUCGAACAUGAUGGGGAUCGAUCAUUGCAAUUAUUGAUCGUGAACGAGGAAUUCCUAGUAAGUGCAAGUCAUCAGCUUGCGCUGAUUACGUCCCUGCCCUUUGUACACACCGCCCGUCGCUACUACCGAUUGAAUGGUUUAGUGAGAUCUCUGGAUUGACGCUGGCUAGGGGGCGACCCUUGGCCAGGCUGUCGAGAAACUGCUCAAACUUGAUCAUUUAGAGGAAGUAAAAGUCGUAACA
RNAcentral lists this ribosomal RNA (331 nucleotides) under uncultured eukaryote. Its description in RNAcentral is "partial 18S ribosomal RNA". It matches the Rfam family "Eukaryotic small subunit ribosomal RNA", at positions 1470 to 1796 of the family's 1831-position model. The record is from RNAcentral.